This 541-nucleotide ribosomal RNA is filed under the name Theristus sp. 201796711. Its description in RNAcentral is "SSU rRNA". It matches the Rfam family "Eukaryotic small subunit ribosomal RNA", at positions 78 to 616 of the family's 1831-position model. Lineage: Eukaryota; Metazoa; Nematoda; Chromadorea; Monhysterida; Xyalidae. The record is from RNAcentral. RNAcentral also lists the same sequence under 1 other name.
AAAGUGAAGCCACGAACAGCUCAUUAUAACAGCCGUUGUUUCUUGGAUUUCCGCUCACACUUGGAUACCUGUGGUAAUUCUAGAGCUAAUACACGCAAUCGAGCUCCGACCUAACGGGACGAGCGCAUUUAUUAGAACAAAACCAAUCGGUCUUCGGUACCGUGGCUUGUUGACUCUGAAUAACUUAGCAGAUCGCUCGGUCUUAGUACCGGCGACGUAUCCUUCAAGUGUCUGCCUUAUCAACUUUCGAUGGUAGUUUAUGUGACUACCAUGGUUGUAACGGGUAACGGAGAAUUAGGGUUCGACUCCGGAGAGGGAGCCUGAGAAACGGCUACCACUUCUAAGGAAGGCAGCAGGCGCGCAAAUUACCCACUCUCGGUACGAGGAGGUAGUGACGAAAAAUAACGAGACGGAGCUCUUUAGAGUUCCGUCAUUGGAAUGAGAACAAUCUAAACCCUUUAACAAGGACCUAGCGGAGGGCAAGUCUGGUGCCAGCAGCCGCGGUAAUUCCAGCUCCGCCAGUGUAUAUCUAUGCUGCUGC